CCUACGGGCGGCAGCAGUGAGGAAUAUUGGUCAAUGGGCGCGAGCCUGAACCAGCCAAGUAGCGUGAAGGAUGACUGCCCUACGGGUUGUAAACUUCUUUUAUAAAGGAAUAAAGUGAGGCACGUGUGCCUUUUUGUAUGUACUUUAUGAAUAAGGAUCGGCUAACUCCGUGCCAGCAGCCCCGGUAAUACGGAGGGUCCGAGCGUUAUCCGGUUUUAUUGGGGUUAAAGGGAGGGUAGCGGGGUUGUUAAGUCCGUUGUGAAAGUUUGCGGCUCAACCCUCAAAUUGCCGUUGAUACUGGCAGCCUUGAGUGCACUUGAGGUAGGCGGAAUUCGUGGUGUAGCGGUGAAAUGCUUAGAUAUCACGAAGAACUCCGAUUGCGAAGGCAGCCUACUAGACUGCAACUGACGUUGAUGCUCGAAAGUGUGGGUAUCAAACAGGAUUAGCUACCCGAGUAGUC
Molecule: ribosomal RNA, 460 nt
Filed under: uncultured bacterium
Lineage: Bacteria
Description: partial 16S ribosomal RNA
Rfam family: Bacterial small subunit ribosomal RNA
Source: RNAcentral